Molecule: transfer RNA, 77 nt
Filed under: Sphaerodactylus townsendi
Lineage: Eukaryota; Metazoa; Chordata; Lepidosauria; Squamata; Sphaerodactylidae
Description: tRNA-Ser
Rfam family: tRNA
About the family: Transfer RNA (tRNA) molecules are approximately 80 nucleotides in length. Their secondary structure includes four short double-helical elements and three loops (D, anti-codon, and T loops). Further hydrogen bonds mediate the characteristic L-shaped molecular structure. tRNAs have two regions of fundamental functional importance: the anti-codon, which is responsible for specific mRNA codon recognition, and the 3' end, to which the tRNAs corresponding amino acid is attached (by aminoacyl-tRNA synthetases). tRNAs cope with the degeneracy of the genetic code in two manners: having more than one tRNA (with a specific anti-codon) for a particular amino acid; and 'wobble' base-pairing, i.e. permitting non-standard base-pairing at the 3rd anti-codon position.
Source: RNAcentral
GGAGUGGCUGUAAGCUCGGUGGUAGAGUGUCUGCUUGCUGUGCAGAAGGGGUCCAGGUUCAAUCCUUGACAUCUCCA